Molecule: small RNA, 23 nt
Filed under: Arabidopsis thaliana (thale cress)
Lineage: Eukaryota; Viridiplantae; Streptophyta; Magnoliopsida; Brassicales; Brassicaceae
Description: ATSL187810
Source: RNAcentral
UCUGAAGAAGAAGAAGAAGAAAC